UUCUAACUGAUGUCCAGAGGGAAAACUCUGUCUCAGCCUCUCACUUCUGUGUGAUGUGCACAGACACUAGAAAGGAGUUACGGUUGCUUCUGGCCGUGCUAAGACGAGCAGAAGGGGAAGCAGUCACAGGAUGGAGUUAACGUUGUGUACGGCAGAAUUGACAAGCGUUGCUGAGCCAUGGACUCCUCCAUCUUUUGAAGCCAGCUUUAAUUCUGGACUUCCCAGCUUCCUGUUCACGUGCACUCCGGGAGGCAGCAGGAAAUGGCUCAAGGAGUCGAGUCCCUACAACUCACAUGGAAGACCUGGCUCGAGCUCCUCACUCCUGGCUUCCAACCUAGACCAGAUCCAGCUGUUGUGGGCAUUUGGUUCUGCAUUAGCAGGAAGAUGGAGUCAGGAGCCAGAGCCACGUAUCAAACCCAGGUACAAAGAUGUGGGAUGUGGGCAUAUUAAUCAGCAUCUUAAUGGCUGGGACAAAUGCCUGCCCCCAUAAUCACUCCUAUCGACCAUGCCAGGUUUGCUGGAGGAUGAAAGAAGUCUACAACUAUACUCCACUGUGCCACUCCUGUGAACACUCUGGCUGACCACUGUGACAGGCUCCCCUCUGUGUGGUGACCACAGCUUGUACAUUGUCACUUGCCUGU
This is a non-coding RNA of Oryctolagus cuniculus (rabbit), 641 nucleotides long. The record is from RefSeq and is a predicted model, not a curated record. Lineage: Eukaryota; Metazoa; Chordata; Mammalia; Lagomorpha; Leporidae.